RNAcentral lists this ribosomal RNA (493 nucleotides) under uncultured bacterium. RNAcentral describes it as "partial 16S ribosomal RNA". It matches the Rfam family "Bacterial small subunit ribosomal RNA", at positions 28 to 507 of the family's 1533-position model. The record is from RNAcentral.
GACGAACGCUGGCGGCGUGCUUAACACAUGCAAGUCGAACGGUGAAGGGACCGGUUUUUGCUGGUUCUGGAUGAGUGGCGAACGGGUGAGUAACACGUGAGUAACCUGCCCCCUUCUUCUGGAUAACCGCAUGAAAGUGUGGCUAAUACGGGAUAUUCUGCGCCUGCUGCAUGGUGGGUGUGGGAAAGAUAUUGUUUCGGUGGGGGAUGGGCUCGCGGCCUAUCAGCUUGUUGGUGGGGUGAUGGCCUACCAAGGCGGUGACGGGUAGCCGGCCUGAGAGGGUGGACGGUCACACUGGGACUGAGACACGGCCCAGACUCCUACGGGAGGCAGCAGUGGGGAAUAUGGCACAAUGGGCGCAAGCCUGAUGCAGCGACGCCGCGGGAGGGAUGGAGGCCUUCGGGUUGUAAACCUCUUUCGCCAGUGAAGCAGGCCUGUCCCUUUUGUGGGUGGGUUGACGGUAGCUGGAUAAGAAGCGCCGGCUAACUACGUG